Macaca fascicularis (crab-eating macaque) is the source of this 243-nucleotide unclassified non-coding RNA. It matches the Rfam family "Metazoan signal recognition particle RNA". Rfam says of the family: The signal recognition particle (SRP) is a universally conserved ribonucleoprotein. It is involved in the co-translational targeting of proteins to membranes. The record is from Ensembl. NCBI's taxonomy places the organism in Eukaryota, Metazoa, Chordata, Mammalia, Primates, Cercopithecidae.
GCCAGGCGCGGUGGCUCACGCCUGUAAUCCCAGCACUUUGGGAGGCCGAAGCGGGCAGAUCACGAGGUCAGGAGAUCAAGACCAUCCUGGUUAACACGGUGAAGCCCCGUCUCUACUAAAAAUACAAAAAACUAUCCGGGCGAGGUGGCGGGCUGAUUUUUGUAUUUUUGGUAGAGAUGGGGUUUCACCGUGUUGGCCAGGCUGGCCUCGAACUCCUGACCUCACGUGAUCUGCCCGCCUCGG